Molecule: ribosomal RNA, 468 nt
Filed under: uncultured bacterium
Lineage: Bacteria
Description: partial 16S ribosomal RNA
Rfam family: Bacterial small subunit ribosomal RNA
Source: RNAcentral
GACGAACGCUGGCGGCGUGCUUAACACAUGCAAGUCGAACGGCAAGGCCCUGCUUUUGUGGGGUGCUCGAGUGGCGAACGGGUGAGUAACACGUGAGUAACCUGCCCUUGACUUUGGGAUAACUUCAGGAAACUGGGGCUAAUACCGGAUAGGAGCUCCUGCUGCAUGGUGGGGGUUGGAAAGUUUCGGCGGUUGGGGAUGGACUCGCGGCUUAUCAGCUUGUUGGUGGGGUAGUGGCUUACCAAGGCUUUGACGGGUAGCCGGCCUGAGAGGGUGACCGGCGACAUUGGGACUGAGAGACGGCCCAGACGCCUACGGGAGGCAGCAGUGGGGAAUAUUGCACAAUGGGCGGAAGCCUGAUGCAGCAACGCCGCGGGCGGGAUGACGGCCUUCGGGUUGUAAACCGCUUUCGCCUGUGACGAAGCGUGAGUGACGGUAAUGGGUAAAGAAGCACCGGCUAACUACGUG